Molecule: non-coding RNA, 154 nt
Organism: Stegodyphus mimosarum
Lineage: Eukaryota; Metazoa; Arthropoda; Arachnida; Araneae; Eresidae
Source: Rfam
AGACCCAAGCAGUGGAUAAAUUUGGCUCACGGUUCAAUGAAGAACACGGAUGGUUGCGAGACUUGGUGUGAAAUGUAGGACACAUUGAGCCCUGAUUUUUCGAAGGCGCAUUGCGGUCGCGGGCGAUAACCGGACCUCACCUGCCUGAGGUUUG